ACUAACUAGGAUUCCCUUAGUAGCGGCGAGCGAAACGGGAAGAGCCCAGCACCGAAUCCCACGCCGCCUGUUCGGCGUCGGGAAAUGUGGUGUUUGAGAGCGUCCUUUAACUCGCGACGACGUGGUAGAGUCCAAGUCCGACCGUGGAACGAGGCCAUUAACCCACAGAGGGUGACAGGCCCGUAGAGACCGCUGCAAGUCGCGAGCGAGGUCGUCUCUUUAGAGUCGGGUUGCUUGAGAGUGCAACCUUAAGUGGGUGGUAUACUCCAUCUAAGGCUAAAUAUUGUCACGAGACCGAUAGCGAACAAGUACCGUGAGGGAAAGUUGAAAAGAACUUUGAAGAGAGAGUUCAACAGUACGUGAAACCGUUCAGGGGUAAAGCGCAUGAAACCCGAAUAUCGAGGUGUCGAGUAUCAACGCCGACGCGUUUAUCCGGAGGAGUUCUCGCGUCUUGCCAAAGCGUGGUGGAGGUUUCGGCCUCUUGCCAUCAGGCGGCGGGGCUCUAUACGCUCUGGGCGUUCGGCGUGCACUACUCGCACGGUAGAUCGUCGCGACCGGCUGGGCUUGAUUUAGCCGAUAUUAUAAAGGCAACAGGGUUCUAAAGGCUCGGGCUUUAACGAGCAGUCCGGAACCACCGUUUUCGGACGGUCAGUACGGAUUGCGAAGCUCGGUGACCUGAUCCCGGCCCGGCCGUAUCGAACGAUGGCAAUUUAUAACAAAGGCUCCCCUAUACAGGGGUCCCGAUCGUUGUCCGAUCCGGAAGAUGAAUUCUCUCGUAUCCGUGGUCCGUCAUCUCGGCGUAAGCCGGGCUCUGGCGGACACAAAACGCGGUUCGGGAAACUUUCGGGUCAUCGGCGACGAUGUCACGGGACUGAGUCUUUUGCCGAGUCGUGCGGCGUAUUUGUUUCGGGGCUUCACGCGANNNNNNNNNNNNNNNNNNNNNNNNNNNNNAGCAAAUAGGCGAGCUCGCGGGACCGCAAACCCGCGAGCGCCGUGAAGGCGCGUGCCGGCCGGAGCGAUCCGGUCGGCGCGCGCGUCGGGCGCCCGCGCCUCUGGCGCGCGCCUAAGAAACGAUCGGCCGCAAGACGUUCGCGUCUGGCCGCGCAGUUUCGGGACGGUCUCGUCCUCAUUGCGAGGGGAGCCGUACUCCGAGUCUAUAUGCUGGUACCCGAAAGAUGUGUGAACUAUGCGUGACAAGAAUUAAGUUAGGGGAAACCCUGAUGUAAGUUCGCUACCGAUUCUGACGUGCAAAUCGAUCGUCUGAGUCAAGUAUAGGGGCGAAAGACCAAUCGAACCAUCUAGUAGCUGGUUCCUCCCGAAGUUUCCCUCAGGAUAGCUGGGACCCGAGACGAGCAGUCGCAUGUGGUAAAGCGAAUGAUUAGAGGUAUUGGGGCCGAAACGGCCUCAACCUAUUCUCAAACUUUUAAUGAGUGCGCACCGCCCGCUUACGCUGUAGCAGGCGAAGCGGCGGUCAGA
This 1476-nucleotide ribosomal RNA is filed under the name Pselaptrichus sp. DDM1181. RNAcentral's name for it is "partial 28S ribosomal RNA". It matches the Rfam family "Eukaryotic large subunit ribosomal RNA", at positions 64 to 1111 of the family's 3401-position model. The record is from RNAcentral. Lineage: Eukaryota; Metazoa; Arthropoda; Insecta; Coleoptera; Staphylinidae.